RNAcentral lists this ribosomal RNA (794 nucleotides) under Bacteroidetes bacterium SCGC AAA166-B16. RNAcentral's name for it is "bacterial SSU rRNA". It matches the Rfam family "Bacterial small subunit ribosomal RNA", at positions 70 to 863 of the family's 1533-position model. The record is from RNAcentral. Lineage: Bacteria; Pseudomonadati; Bacteroidota.
CAGGAAGAGCUUGCUCUUCGCUGACGAGUGGCGGACGGGUGCGUAACACGUAUGCAACAUACCCUUUACAGGGGGAUAGCCCAGAGAAAUCUGGAUUAAUACCCCAUAAUAUCAUGGAUUCGCAUGUUUCUAUGAUUAAAACUUCGGUGGUAAAGGAUUGGCAUGCGGCCCAUUAGUUUGUUGGUGAGGUAAUGGCUCACCAAGACUACGAUGGGUAGGGGGUCUGAGAGGAUGAUCCCCCACACUGGUACUGAGACACGGACCAGACUCCUACGGGAGGCAGCAGUGAGGAAUAUUGGUCAAUGGACGAAAGUCUGAACCAGCCAUACCGCGUGCAGGAAGACAGCCCUAUGGGUCGUAAACUGCUUUUGUUUGCCAAGAAACCUCCCCACGUGUGGGGAGCUGACGGUAGCAUUCGAAUAAGGACCGGCUAACUCCGUGCCAGCAGCCGCGGUAAUACGGAGGGUCCAAGCGUUAUCCGGAUUUAUUGGGUUUAAAGGGUUCGUAGGCGGAAAGAUAAGUCAGUGGUGAAAGCCUGUGGCUCAACCAUAGAAUUGCCAUUGAUACUGUCUUUCUUGAGUACACAUGAAGUGGGCGGAAUGUGUCGUGUAGCGGUGAAAUGCUUAGAUAUGACACAGAACACCGAUUGCGAAGGCAGCUCACUAAAGUGUAACUGACGCUGAGGAACGAAAGCGUGGGGAGCGAACAGGAUUAGAUACCCUGGUAGUCCACGCCGUAAACGAUGAUUACUCGAUAUUGGCGAUAUACAGUCAGUGUCCAAGCGAAAGCGAUAA